This 477-nucleotide ribosomal RNA is filed under the name uncultured bacterium. RNAcentral's name for it is "bacterial SSU rRNA". It matches the Rfam family "Bacterial small subunit ribosomal RNA", at positions 28 to 526 of the family's 1533-position model. The record is from RNAcentral.
GAUGAACGCUGACAGAAUGCUUAACACAUGCAAGUCGAUUCGAUUUACCUUUGGGUAUUGAGGAUGGCGGACGGGUGAGUAACGCGUAAGGAACUUGCCUCUUGGACUGGGACAACUGUUGGAAACGACAGCUAAUACCGGAUAUUAUGAGAUUCUCGCAUGAGAAACUUAUGAAAGCUAUAUGCGCCAAGAGAGAGCCUUGCGUUCCAUUAGCUAGUUGGUGGGGUAAUGGCCCACCAAGGAGACGAUGGAUAGCCGGCCUGAGAGGGUGAACGGCCACAAGGGGACUGAGACACGGCCCAGACUCCUACGGGAGGCAGCAGUGGGGAAUAUUGCACAAUGGGCGAAAGCCUGAUGCAGCAACGCCGCGUGAGCGAUGAAGGCCUUCGGGUCGUAAAGCUCUGUCCUCAAGGAAGAUAAUGACGGUACUUGAGGAGGAAGCCCCGGCUAACUACGUGCCAGCCGCCGCUGUAACAC